AUCUCUUUUCGGGCUUUUAGCUAAGAUCAAGUGUUGUAUCUGUUCUUACUAGUUUAAUAUCUGAUAUGUCCUCUAUCCCAGGACAAUAUAUUAAAUAGAUUUUUGGAGAUAGGAGAUGUAAUAGGAUUUUGCUCUCUCCAUUCCACACAUUGACCUUGUAUUGCAGUACCUCUAGGAACAGUAGCCCCUUG
Molecule: small nuclear RNA, 191 nt
Organism: Heterocephalus glaber (naked mole-rat)
Lineage: Eukaryota; Metazoa; Chordata; Mammalia; Rodentia; Bathyergidae
Gene: U2
Rfam family: U2 spliceosomal RNA
About the family: U2 is a small nuclear RNA (snRNA) component of the spliceosome (involved in pre-mRNA splicing).
Source: Ensembl